GACAGAGGGUGCAAACGUUGUUCGGAAUUACUGGGCGUAAAGCGCGUGUAGGCGGCUAAGUAAGUCGGGCGUGAAAUCCCACGGCUCAACCGUGGAAGUGCACUCGAAACUGCAUAGCUAGAGUCCUGGAGAGGAAGGUGGAAUGCUUGGUGUAGAGGUGAAAUUCGUAGAUAUCAAGCGGAACACCGGUGGCGAAGGCGGCCUUCUGGACAGUGACUGGCGCUGAGACGCGAAAGCGUGGGGAGCAAACAGG
RNAcentral lists this ribosomal RNA (253 nucleotides) under uncultured bacterium. RNAcentral's name for it is "partial 16S ribosomal RNA". It matches the Rfam family "Bacterial small subunit ribosomal RNA", at positions 524 to 776 of the family's 1533-position model. The record is from RNAcentral.